GGGCCCAUAGCUCAGCUUGGUAGAGCAGUGGACUCUUAAUCCACGUGUCGAGGGUUCGAACGGGACCCACUGUGAGAAAACCAGUGGUUUCCUUAAUCCCUCAAAAUCCCUCUGGGCCCG
This 120-nucleotide transfer RNA is filed under the name Microcaldota archaeon. Its description in RNAcentral is "tRNA-Lys". It matches the Rfam family "tRNA". From Rfam's summary of the family: Transfer RNA (tRNA) molecules are approximately 80 nucleotides in length. The record is from RNAcentral. Lineage: Archaea; Nanobdellati; Microcaldota.